This 25-nucleotide non-coding RNA is filed under the name Rattus norvegicus (Norway rat). Lineage: Eukaryota; Metazoa; Chordata; Mammalia; Rodentia; Muridae. The record is from RNAcentral.
UACCUUAACUAAAGGCUGCCACCUC